RNAcentral lists this long non-coding RNA (1458 nucleotides) under Oryctolagus cuniculus (rabbit). Its description in RNAcentral is "lncRNA (ENSOCUG00000038797.1)". The record is from RNAcentral. Lineage: Eukaryota; Metazoa; Chordata; Mammalia; Lagomorpha; Leporidae.
GCAAGAUCAUAACCUAAAAAACCAUACUUAUCUAAUAUUUUAGUUUUUCAGGCAAUCUAAGUAUAAAUGCUCAAAAUGAAUUGGUGAUCUUUGCUUUCUCUGCACUUUGCUGUGGCACCUUGUGCAUCAUCAUGUCCUUGCAACCUAAGGGUGUCUCCCUCUCCUCAUCUGCCUGAGAAAUGGACUCAAGUAUGCAGUGACUGGAGAGGAGGUAAAGAAAUGUAUGCAGUGCUUGAUCAGAAUCAGCAACCAGGUUCAAACUGAUGUUGCAUACCUUGCUGCAUUCGUGGAUACAUGUGAGAUGGAGCAAACAUUGGCUAGCAUCAAGAAGACAGGAACUAAGAAACGGAGCAAAAGGGAGAGAGAAGCACAGGGAUCUCCUAUCAACUGGCUUUCUCCAGCUACCGCAAUACCUGGACGCCACUAGCCUAAGGCCUAGCACUUAGAACUCAAGCCAGAUAAGAUCCUGGAGACAUCUACAUGUACCUGAGACAAACAAAAAUGAAUUUAUUGCCAGUAAGUUAUUUAUUCCUCAGCUUCUUUCACAUUGUAGUUUAUUUUAUUUUAUUUUAUUUUAUUUUUUUGACAGGGAGAGUUAGACAGUGAGAGACAGAGAGAAAAGUUUUCCUUCCGUUGCUUCACCCCUGAAAUGGCCGCUACAGCUGGUGCCCCAGCUCCAGUUCUUUGUGACCAUUUUGAGAGUGAACCAGUGGGUGGAAGACUUCUCUGUUUCUCCCUCUCUGUAACUCUACUAAGAAGGAGAAGAAGAAGAAAAACAUGCAGAACACAAACUGGUGCCCGUAUGUGAUGGUGGCACCAUAAGUGGACAUAUAGCAUACUAUGCCACAACACUGGCACUGAGAGAGAGACCGUGACUUUCAGUCAACUGAUUUACACUCCAAACACCCACAGCAGGCAGGGCUGAGACAGGGUCAUAGGUGAGAACCAGGAAUGUAGUCCUGGCCUCUCACUUGAGUUGAGAAGCCUACAUUCUAGAGUUGUCAACACUGACUUCUAGUGUCUAGAUUUGCAAAAUCUAAAAUUAGGAGCCAGCCCUGAAAGCACAGCUGGAAAUGCUGCUGUGGGACCAGGGCAUUAGGCUAAAUGACUCUUUUCCCUUGCCAUGGUAGAAACUGCUACACGCCUUCUCCUGGAAGUUAACCUGUUUGUAUCAUGACAUCACUGAAAGUUUCUUCUCUUUUUACUGGUGUCCUAUUGAUUGCAUUCUGCAAUUCACCUUGACAGGUUGACCCUAUAUCAUCUGACACAUCUGUAUCUCCAGCUUGGGCUUCUUGCAUAGCAUGUAGACCACUAUAUUUACUCCCUGUUGAGUGUUUCCUUAUAGCCAUCCAAAUGGCACCUCAAGCUGCUCAAAUCUAAAAUGAAAACCUGGGGCUGACAUUGUGACAUUGUGGUAUAGUGGGUUAAACAGCUGCCUAGGAUGCCAGCAUCCCUUAA